AUCCUUUGGUAGUUCAUAAGCGUGAUGAUUGGGUGUUCACGCUGUUGUGUGACAUGUGCCUCCCUCCAACCUUGUUACAACCUCGGCACAUUACCCAUCUGACG
Molecule: small nucleolar RNA, 104 nt
Organism: Zalophus californianus (California sea lion)
Lineage: Eukaryota; Metazoa; Chordata; Mammalia; Carnivora; Otariidae
Source: Ensembl